This 93-nucleotide ribosomal RNA is filed under the name uncultured bacterium. Its description in RNAcentral is "partial 16S ribosomal RNA". The record is from RNAcentral.
CCGCCCGUCACACCAUGGGAGUUGGCUGCACCAGAAGCUGGGGCGCUGACCGCAAGGAAACAGCCGACCACGGUGGGGUCAGUGACUGGCACU